RNAcentral lists this ribosomal RNA (486 nucleotides) under uncultured bacterium. RNAcentral describes it as "partial 16S ribosomal RNA". It matches the Rfam family "Bacterial small subunit ribosomal RNA", at positions 30 to 507 of the family's 1533-position model. The record is from RNAcentral.
AUUGAACGCUGGCGGCAUGCCUUACACAUGCAAGUCGAACGGCAGCACGGGUGCUUGCACCUGGUGGCGAGUGGCGAACGGGUGAGUAAUACAUCGGAACAUGUCCUGUAGUGGGGGAUAGCCCGGCGAAAGCCGGAUUAAUACCGCAUACGAUCUACGGAUGACAGCGGGGGACCUUCGGGCCUCGCGCUAUAGGGUUGGCCGAUGGCUGAUUAGCUAGUUGGUGGGGUAAAGGCCUACCAAGGCGACGAUCAGUAGCUGGUCUGAGAGGACGACCAGCGACACUGAGACUGAGACACGGCCCAGACUCCUACGGGAGGCAGCAGUGGGGAAUUUUGGACAAUGGGCGAAAGCCUGAUCCAGCAAUGCCGCGUGUGUGAAGAAGGCCUUCGGGUUGUAAAGCACUUUUGUCCGGAAAGAAAUCCUUGGCCCUAAUACGGUCGGGGGAUGACGGUACCGGAAGAAUAAGCACCGGCUAACUACGUG